GCACCCCUCAGUGCAGCAACAGUGCUCCUAUCCCUGGCCUUGAAAGCCUCAGAACUUUAUAGUAACAAUAGCUGCCAGCUGCCUGGGAGCAGUUUAAAAGUGGCAGCAGCACAGAUGACCUGAGGAAGAGCUCUCUGGUUGACACUUUGCCUUAUUCCCUGGAUGCCGUUCAGCUUGCUACUCACCCACUUCCUACUGGAUUGUCAGAAAAUGUGAGACAUUUGUCAUCAGCUGUUUCCUUUCCUCCAGCUCUGGGAUUUCCCAGCAUAUUUCAGAAAAACUCGCUUAAAACCAGCAUUUAAAAAACCUGGAAAUACAUUGGGACAAGCUAGAAAUCAGAAGAGAAAGCCUGAUUUGUGUGUGGGUGCUUCCAAAGAUCUCAAAUGGACUUUGGGGAACAGGGAUGUAAGAAAACAGGACAGAUCCUCUGCUUAGCUUCUGUGGCCACAACCUGAGGCAGUGGCACUGCUUUCUGCAGGUGUUGGAUAUCUUUUCUGUUGCUAGAAGGAAGAUACAGAAAGGGCCAUUCAGGGCCUUUCAAGUUUGGCAUCACUUCUAUGGAAGGAAAAAAAAAGAGAGAAAAGAGCCUUUGUUCUCCACAGCUGUCGUCAUGCUGUAGAAAAAUCUCAGCGCAGGAAAUAAAUCCAUCACCGGCUUCAGGGGGAAAGAAGGGAAAAAACGAACCUCUCUUCUCAGUGUGUUUCAAGGCAAAGGUGGAAGCAACCCGGCAGGGAUGGCGCAGUGCACAUGCCGGCCAGCUCUUUAGACACUGAGGAAGCCUUUGUGGCCAUAGGCAGUGGGGAUCCCUUGUCUUCUCCGGUUGGAACUGGCCAAGCGGGAAUGCCAGGCCCCUCCUCCUCUGGAUAGGCUUUCUGUGUGAGAGACAAGGAUUACCAGAAAGCUCUGAGAAAGAAGGAGACCACAGGGCCAACUUCUCAUCUCAAAUGAAGGAGGAAACCCUGUUUAGGUGCGCUCGUGACCUUUGAAAAUGCCAGUUGAAGUCUUCCAAAAUGGCCCCAAAGAAGUCAGUGAUCAUGUUCUAAAACACUGACAGAUCUGAUGCCUGUUUAUUCAGAAGUAAACCCCACUGAGUGCAGUGGAACUUACUCCCCAGUAAAUAGGCACAGGAUCACACUCUAAAGCACUAGUUUAGUGGUGAAAAACAAAAAUACGGCAUGUAUGCUGAUGUGCUAAAAGAAGGGCAAUUGCUUACUGUUCUGUAUUUUGUUUUUAAAAGUUGUACCUUGUUUUUCUUUCUAAGAAAAGUGGGGAGGACAACAGGAGCCCAAGGUGGUUCACAAACCCUCCCAUAAAAACAGAAACAAUCAUAUAGUAAAGCAUUCACAAAAACACUGUAAAUGUAAAACAACAAAUUCCAGAUCAUUAAACCAACAGU
This is a long non-coding RNA of Hemicordylus capensis (graceful crag lizard), 1396 nucleotides long. RefSeq lists it as uncharacterized. The transcript has 6 exons. Lineage: Eukaryota; Metazoa; Chordata; Lepidosauria; Squamata; Cordylidae. The record is from RefSeq and is a predicted model, not a curated record.